Molecule: ribosomal RNA, 468 nt
Filed under: uncultured bacterium
Lineage: Bacteria
Description: partial 16S ribosomal RNA
Rfam family: Bacterial small subunit ribosomal RNA
Source: RNAcentral
GACGAACGCUGGCGGCGUGCUUAACACAUGCAAGUCGAACGGCAACGCACUGCUUUUGUGGGCUGCUCGAGUGGCGAACGGGUGAGUAACACGUGAGUAACCUGCCCUUCACUUUGGGAUAACUUCAGGAAACUGGGGCUAAUACCGGAUAGGAGCCCCUGCUGCAUGGUGGGCGUUGGAACGUCUCGGCGGUCGGGGAUGGACUCGCGGCUUAUCAGCUUGUUGGUGGGGUAGUGGCUUACCAAGGCUUUGACGGGUAGCCGGCCUGAGAGGGUGACCGGCCACAUUGGGACUGAGAUACGGCCCAGACUCCUACGGGAGGCAGCAGUGGGGAAUAUUGCACAAUGGGCGGAAGCCUGAUGCAGCAACGCCGCGUGCGGGAUGACGGCCUUCGGGGUGUAAACCGCUUUCGCCUGUGACGAAGCGUGAGUGACGGUAAUGGGUAAAGAAGCACCGGCUAACUACGUG